Molecule: ribosomal RNA, 2251 nt
Filed under: Salmonella enterica subsp. enterica serovar Virchow
Lineage: Bacteria; Pseudomonadati; Pseudomonadota; Gammaproteobacteria; Enterobacterales; Enterobacteriaceae
Description: partial 23S ribosomal RNA
Rfam family: Bacterial large subunit ribosomal RNA
Source: RNAcentral
AGACCCGAAACCCGGUGAUCUAGCCAUGGGCAGGUUGAAGGUUGGGUAACACUAACUGGAGGACCGAACCGACUAAUGUUGAAAAAUUAGCGGAUGACCUGUGGCUGGGGGUGAAAGGCCAAUCAAACCGGGAGAUAGCUGGUUCUCCCCGAAAGCUAUUUAGGUAGCGCCUCGUGAAUUCAUCUCCGGGGGUAGAGCACUGUUUCGGCUAGGGGGCCAUCCCGGCUUACCAACCCGAUGCAAACUGCGAAUACCGGAGAAUGUUAUCACGGGAGACACACGGCGGGUGCUAACGUCCGUCGUGAAGAGGGAAACAACCCAGACCGCCAGCUAAGGUCCCAAAGUCAUGGUUAAGUGGGAAACGAUGUGGGAAGGCCCAGACAGCCAGGAUGUUGGCUUAGAAGCAGCCAUCAUUUAAAGAAAGCGUAAUAGCUCACUGGUCGAGUCGGCCUGCGCGGAAGAUGUAACGGGGCUAAACCAUGCACCGAAGCUGCGGCAGCGACGCUGAUGCGUUGUUGGGUAGGGGAGCGUUCUGUAAGCCUGUGAAGGUGGCCUGUGAGGGUUGCUGGAGGUAUCAGAAGUGCGAAUGCUGACAUAAGUAACGAUAAAGCGGGUGAAAAGCCCGCUCGCCGGAAGACCAAGGGUUCCUGUCCAACGUUAAUCGGGGCAGGGUGAGUCGACCCCUAAGGCGAGGCCGAAAGGCGUAGUCGAUGGGAAACGGGUUAAUAUUCCCGUACUUGGUGUUACUGCGAAGGGGGGACGGAGAAGGCUAUGUUGGCCGGGCGACGGUUGUCCCGGUUUAAGCGUGUAGGUGUGUGUUCCAGGUAAAUCCGGUUCACUUUAACACUGAGGCGUGACGACGAGGCACUACGGUGCUGAAGCAACAAAUGCCCUGCUUCCAGGAAAAGCCUCUAAGCAUCAGGUAACAUCAAAUCGUACCCCAAACCGACACAGGUGGUCAGGUAGAGAAUACCAAGGCGCUUGAGAGAACUCGGGUGAAGGAACUAGGCAAAAUGGUGCCGUAACUUCGGGAGAAGGCACGCUGACACGUAGGUGAAGUGAUUUACUCAUGGAGCUGAAGUCAGUCGAAGAUACCAGCUGGCUGCAACUGUUUAUUAAAAACACAGCACUGUGCAAACACGAAAGUGGACGUAUACGGUGUGACGCCUGCCCGGUGCCGGAAGGUUAAUUGAUGGGGUCAGCGCAAGCGAAGCUCCUGAUCGAAGCCCCGGUAAACGGCGGCCGUAACUAUAACGGUCCUAAGGUAGCGAAAUUCCUUGUCGGGUAAGUUCCGACCUGCACGAAUGGCGUAAUGAUGGCCAGGCUGUCUCCACCCGAGACUCAGUGAAAUUGAACUCGCUGUGAAGAUGCAGUGUACCCGCGGCAAGACGGAAAGACCCCGUGAACCUUUACUAUAGCUUGACACUGAACAUUGAGCCUUGAUGUGUAGGAUAGGUGGGAGGCUUUGAAGUGUGGACGCCAGUCUGCAUGGAGCCGACCUUGAAAUACCACCCUUUAAUGUUUGAUGUUCUAACGUGGACCCGUUACCCGGGUUGCGGACAGUGUCUGGUGGGUAGUUUGACUGGGGCGGUCUCCUCCUAAAGAGUAACGGAGGAGCACGAAGGUUGGCUAAUCCUGGUCGGACAUCAGGAGGUUAGUGCAAUGGCAUAAGCCAGCUUGACUGCGAGCGUGACGGCGCGAGCAGGUGCGAAAGCAGGUCAUAGUGAUCCGGUGGUUCUGAAUGGAAGGGCCAUCGCUCAACGGAUAAAAGGUACUCCGGGGAUAACAGGCUGAUACCGCCCAAGAGUUCAUAUCGACGGCGGUGUUUGGCACCUCGAUGUCGGCUCAUCACAUCCUGGGGCUGAAGUAGGUCCCAAGGGUAUGGCUGUUCGCCAUUUAAAGUGGUACGCGAGCUGGGUUUAGAACGUCGUGAGACAGUUCGGUCCCUAUCUGCCGUGGGCGCUGGAGAACUGAGGGGGGCUGCUCCUAGUACGAGAGGACCGGAGUGGACGCAUCACUGGUGUUCGGGUUGUCAUGCCAAUGGCACUGCCCGGUAGCUAAAUGCGGAAGAGAUAAGUGCUGAAAGCAUCUAAGCACGAAACUUGCCCCGAGAUGAGUUCUCCCUGAGACUUAGAGUCUCCUGAAGGAACGUUGAAGACGACGACGUUGAUAGGCCGGGUGUGUAAGCGCAGCGAUGCGUUGAGCUAACCGGUACUAAUGAACCGUGAGGCUUAACCUUACAACGCCGAAG